Rhinolophus ferrumequinum (greater horseshoe bat) is the source of this 432-nucleotide long non-coding RNA. RefSeq lists it as uncharacterized. Lineage: Eukaryota; Metazoa; Chordata; Mammalia; Chiroptera; Rhinolophidae. The transcript is spliced from 3 exons. The record is from RefSeq and is a predicted model, not a curated record.
CCUCCAAGUUGCUGUGCUCGCCGGCACCGACCCUGCUUAGGCCAGUGGACGUCCUGGACGUUGCUGGAUUCAGGCCACUCUUCUCUGCCUUGGGACAUCUGAGAGAAGCCAAUGGCGCCAGAGCCCUGGGCUGACAUUCGAGGACAACUCCUUCUGGGUGAGGCAACUGAGGCUUGGAAAAGUCAAGAAUGCCUGUCCUGAGAGGAUCAGAGUUGAGGACCCUCUUUGCACACCUGGCGUCACCGUGGGGCACUCAUUUGUGACCUGUAAUUCCUGGCAGCUAAGGGAGCAGAAUAAAGGGUCGUUGGAAGAUUUGGGUCUUGUCCUUCCUUCGACUCAGCCAUCUCUGCCUAGAGAUGGCUGCUGCUCCCGUGGGAACCAGGGGCCCGUGCCAUCCCCCACUGCUGUGCCCGGCCCUCUGCCUGCCCUGCC